GGUCAAGCUACAAAGGGCGCAUGGUGAAUGCCUUGGCAUCAGGAGCCGAUGAAGGACGUGAUAAGCUGCGAUAAGCUUCGGGUAGGCGCACAUAGCCAGAGAUCCGAAGAUUUCCGAAUGAGGAAACUCACAUGGG
Molecule: ribosomal RNA, 136 nt
Filed under: Clostridium beijerinckii
Lineage: Bacteria; Bacillati; Bacillota; Clostridia; Eubacteriales; Clostridiaceae
Description: partial 23S ribosomal RNA
Rfam family: Bacterial large subunit ribosomal RNA
Source: RNAcentral